GGUGGUGCAUGGCCGUUCUUAGUUCGUGGAGUGAUUUGUCUGGUUUAUUCCGAUAACGAACGAGACUCUAACCUGCUAACUAGUUGGCCGAUAGCCUCGUCGGCGUGACUUCUUAGAGGGAUCAGUGGUGUUUCAGCCACACGAGAUUGAGCAAUAACAGGUCUGUGAUGCCCUUAGAUGUUCGGGGCUGCACGCGCGCUACACUGGAGAGAUCAGCGUGUUGCAUGCUUCCUUGGCCGAAAGGCCUCGGUAAUCCAUUGAAAACUUUCCGUGAUCGGGAUAGGGGAUUGCAAUUAUUUCCCUUCAACGAGGAAUUCCCAGUAAGUGUGAGUCAUCAGCUCACGUUGAUUACGUCCCUUGCCUUUGUA
Molecule: ribosomal RNA, 368 nt
Filed under: Acrostichus sp. RGD95
Lineage: Eukaryota; Metazoa; Nematoda; Chromadorea; Rhabditida; Diplogasteridae
Description: SSU rRNA
Rfam family: Eukaryotic small subunit ribosomal RNA
Source: RNAcentral